GCAGCAGUGGGGAAUAUUGGACAAUGGGCGCAAGCCUGAUCCAGCCAUGCCGCGUGUGUGAAGAAGGCCUUCGGGUUGUAAAGCACUUUUGUUGGGGAAGAAAAGCACUGGGUUAAUACCCUGGUGUUCUGACGGUACCCAAAGAAUAAGCACCGGCUAACUUCGUGCCAGCAGCCGCGGUAAUACGAAGGGUGCAAGCGUUACUCGGAAUUACUGGGCGUAAAGCGUGCGUAGGUGGUUCGUUAAGUCUGUCGUGAAAGCCCCGGGCUCAACCUGGGAAUGGCGAUGGAUACUGGCGGGCUAGAGUGCGGUAGAGGAGAGUGGAAUUCCCGGUGUAGCAGUGAAAUGCGUAGAGAUCGGGAGGAACAUCAGUUGCGAAGGCGGCUCUCUGGACCAGCACUGACACUGAGGCACGAAAGCGUGGGGAGCAAACAGGAUUAGAUAC
Molecule: ribosomal RNA, 445 nt
Filed under: uncultured Arenimonas sp.
Lineage: Bacteria; Pseudomonadati; Pseudomonadota; Gammaproteobacteria; Lysobacterales; Lysobacteraceae
Description: bacterial SSU rRNA
Rfam family: Bacterial small subunit ribosomal RNA
Source: RNAcentral